CGUAGGUGGCAAGCGUUGUCCGGAUUUAUUGGGUUUAAAGGGUGCGUAGGCGGCUUUGUAAGUCAGUGGUGAAAUACUCCAGCUCAACUGGAGAGGUGCCAUUGAUACUGCAGAGCUAGAGUACUGAUGAGGUAGGCGGAAUGGACGGUGUAGCGGUGAAAUGCUUAGAUAUCGUCCAGAACACCGAUAGCGAAGGCAGCUUACUAAAGAGUAACUGACGCUGAGGCACGAAAGUGUGGGGAUCAAACAGGAUUAGAUACCCUGGUAGUCCACACUGUAAACGUUGAUCACUAGAUGUUGGCGAUACACUGCCAGCGUUCCAGCAAAAGCGAUAAGUGACCCACCUGGGGAGUACGCCCGCAAGGGUG
Molecule: ribosomal RNA, 368 nt
Filed under: uncultured organism
Description: bacterial SSU rRNA
Rfam family: Bacterial small subunit ribosomal RNA
Source: RNAcentral